AACGCACAUUGCGCCUUCUGGUAUUCCGGGAGGCAUGCCUGUCCGAGCGUCAUCAAACACAGUCAAGCUUUGGCGUUGCUAUUCGUCAAAGCUUGGAGUUGACGGUUGUGCGAGACCUGAUACGUCCAGCACACCGUCGAAACACAAAGGCGGAAACCGACGCGGCCCGUGGUGUAGUAAUACUUCAUUUCACCUGUGUUGCCGCAUUGUAAUUUCUUGCCCAAGACAAACUCCCAUUGUGGGAAAAAUAAUCUCCAACGUUUGACCUCGGAUCAGGUAAGGAUACCCGCUGAACUUAA
RNAcentral lists this unclassified non-coding RNA (299 nucleotides) under uncultured Ascomycota. Its description in RNAcentral is "sequence contains ITS2". The record is from RNAcentral. Lineage: Eukaryota; Fungi; Ascomycota.